GGCGCAGUAUUUUGACUGUGCUAAGGUAGCAUAAUCAUUAGAUUUUUAAUUAAAAUCUGGAAUGAAAGGUUGAAUGAAAUAAAAACUUUUUUAUUUUUAAAAAUUGAAUUUUAUUUAUUAGUUAAAAAGCUUAUUUGUAAGAAAGGGACGAGAAGACCCUAUAGAAUUUAAUAAUUAUUAAUUAAUUUAUAAAUUUUUAUUUUAUUAAAUAAAAUUUAUUUUGUUGGGGAGAUAAUUAAAUUUUAUAAACUUUAAAUUUUUAAAUCAACAAUUUUUGUUUAUUUGAUCUUAUUUUAUAGAUUAAAAAAUCAAAUUACCUUAGGGAUAACAGAAUAAUAUUUUUAAAAAGUUCUUAUUUUUAAAAAAGUUUAUUACCUCGAUGUUGGAUUAAAAUAAUUUUUAUAAGAAGAUUUAUAAAAAAUAAGUCUGUUCGACUUUUAAAUUUUUACAUGAUCUGAGUUCAAACCGGUGUGAGCCAGGUCGGUUUCUAUCU
Molecule: ribosomal RNA, 493 nt
Filed under: Cecidomyia pini
Lineage: Eukaryota; Metazoa; Arthropoda; Insecta; Diptera; Cecidomyiidae
Description: partial large subunit ribosomal RNA
Rfam family: Bacterial large subunit ribosomal RNA (bases 324-482)
Source: RNAcentral